GCCACCUCCCACCCGUGUUUAUUUUACCUUGUUGCUUCGGCGGGCCCGCCUUAACUGGCCGCCGGGGGGCUUACGCCCCCGGGCCCGCGCCCGCCGAAGACACCCUCGAACUCUGUCUGAAGAUUGUAGUCUGAGUGAAAAUAUAAAUUAUUUAAAACUUUCAACAACGGAUCUCUUGGUUCCGGCAUCGAUGAAGAACGCAGCGAAAUGCGAUACGUAAUGUGAAUUGCAAAUUCAGUGAAUCAUCGAGUCUUUGAACGCACAUUGCGCCCCCUGGUAUUCCGGGGGGCAUGCCUGUCCGAGCGUCAUUGCUGCCCUCAAGCACGGCUUGUGUGUUGGGCCCCGUCCUCCGAUCCCGGGGGACGGGCCCGAAAGGCAGCGGCGGCACCGCGUCCGGUCCUCGAGCGUAUGGGGCUUUGUCACCCGCUCUGUAGGCCCGGCCGGCGCUUGCCGAUCAACCCAAAUUUUUAUCCAGGUUGACCUCGGAUCAGGUAGGGAUACCCGCUGAACUUAAGCAUAUCAAUAAGCGGAGGAA
This 535-nucleotide ribosomal RNA is filed under the name Penicillium sp. F78. RNAcentral's name for it is "eukaryotic LSU rRNA". The stretch from base 156 to 308 matches the Rfam family "5.8S ribosomal RNA". Lineage: Eukaryota; Fungi; Ascomycota; Eurotiomycetes; Eurotiales; Aspergillaceae. The record is from RNAcentral.